GCAUACUCACAGCGUCGAAUGGUGUACGUAAGUUAUCCUGGAGCGGUGAGUAAAGCAAAUGUAGGAAUAAGUAACGAUAAGGAGGGUUAGAUUCCCUCCCGCUGUAAGACCAAGGUUUCCCGGGCAAUGCCAAUCAGCCCGGGGUCAGUCGGGUCCUAAGUCUAAGCCGAACGGCGAUGGCGAUGGCAGAGACGGUUAAUAUUCCGUCACUGCCGCAUGGGGCGACGUGGAGACGGAGCAGUGAAACCACCGCGGGGCGACGGAAGUCCCCGUUGAAGAGUGUAGGCGUUGAGGAUGGCAGGCAAAUCCACCAUCCGAGCUGAACUUGAGAGUACGGAGUCCUCCUCGGAGGAAUCUGAUAGUGUGGGUAAUCAUACUCCCGAGAAAAUCCGCUAAGCUUAACCCAUGCGGCACCCGUACCGCAAACGGACACACGUGGUCGGGUAGAACAUACUAAGGCGUUGAGAGAUUCAUGGUUAAGGAACUAGGCAAAUUGACCCUGUAACUUCGGGAUAAAGGGUCCUCGUGAUGAGCGAGGCGCA
RNAcentral lists this ribosomal RNA (542 nucleotides) under uncultured bacterium. RNAcentral describes it as "bacterial LSU rRNA". It matches the Rfam family "Bacterial large subunit ribosomal RNA", at positions 1236 to 1781 of the family's 2925-position model. The record is from RNAcentral.